GCGAGAGUGGUGAAAUUGGUAGACACGCCAGACUUAGGAUCUGGUACCGCAAGGUUUGAGGGUUCAAAUCCCUCCCCUCGCA
This 82-nucleotide transfer RNA is filed under the name Spirochaetaceae bacterium. RNAcentral describes it as "tRNA-Leu". It matches the Rfam family "tRNA". From Rfam's summary of the family: Transfer RNA (tRNA) molecules are approximately 80 nucleotides in length. Their secondary structure includes four short double-helical elements and three loops (D, anti-codon, and T loops). The record is from RNAcentral. Lineage: Bacteria; Pseudomonadati; Spirochaetota; Spirochaetia; Spirochaetales; Spirochaetaceae.